UUACAACUUUUAUUUUUGAAGGUAGAUACAGAAUUUCGACUAUCCAUGUGAAAUGACCAGAUCAGAUAUAGGUAAUGGCAAUUUACUUAGGCACAUUUUCAGCUUGCCAAACCAUGGCAUGAUAUAUGACUACGGUUGUACAAACCAUAGUGGUCCUAUCAGAUAUUCUAUGGUCACGACAGUUGUGAUAUCCUAAGUGUUAAUUAAGGUAAAUGGGU
RNAcentral lists this long non-coding RNA (218 nucleotides) under Carica papaya (papaya). RNAcentral describes it as "long non-coding RNA (CPAP_LNC013081)". The record is from RNAcentral. Lineage: Eukaryota; Viridiplantae; Streptophyta; Magnoliopsida; Brassicales; Caricaceae.